Gallus gallus (chicken) is the source of this 3640-nucleotide long non-coding RNA. The record is from Ensembl. NCBI's taxonomy places the organism in Eukaryota, Metazoa, Chordata, Aves, Galliformes, Phasianidae.
CAACCCCUGUGGUUCUGUCAUUCUGUGCAAUGCUGAUGCCAUCACAGUGUCCCAUCAAAGAAGAAAGGUGACUUCCAACAAGAAUGACUAGAGGGCUGGAGACUUCAUAUCAGAGAGGAGGAGAGAGAAUCUUUGUCUAUGCCUUUAUUGUGUUACUAAUUAGAAUUAACAGAAUAAAUGGAAAUGUACAUAGUAUUUGAUAGUGUUCCUUUAAUAGAAAAUGGUUAACUUGAAUUACUUACAAGUUUUACAUAUUUCAGUACUGUUGUAACUGCACUCAAGCUAUGUCAUUACCUUUUAUUCCGACUGUGAAAACAUUUAUUAGAUGAACAAUUUCUAAUUUUGAUAUCUAGUUCAUAAUCCACAGUUGUCAAUAAUGAAGAUAGUAUGUAACACAGUGCAUAGAAGACAUUUAUAUCAGGCCUAGCAAUGUUGGGUAACAAUCUCAUGCUUUAAUGUACAACGGUUUAUCCUAAGCAGACUUUAAUGCAGUGAUCCUCUUGUCAAUCUUCAGCAUUUCUCUACUGUGAGUGACCACUCCCUUCUCCAAGGACAAAAGAAAUCCAGUCUCUGGAUUAAUCAGCACAUAGAUCCUAUGCAGGUAUGGUCACCACUUCUUCCCACUUUUUUUAACUCCCAUUGGAUUAACUAGCAUCAGAAUGACAUUAUUUAUAUUGAAUGAUGUUCUUUUACAAAUCUUAUUCUAACAGGUCACAAAUAUGGUCAAAGUACCAGAGGCCCAUGAAGCUACAUAUGAAGAAUGCUUGCACUGAAUUAUUUUCCAACAAACAGAACCCAGUAUUUUCUAUUAGGCACAGCUUUUGUAGUGCAGAAAAACAAAACUGAUAUAUUUAUAUUAAUAUUUUAAUAAUUAUCAUAUCUGCAAAGUAGAAGUUUAAGAAUAUCUGCCUCAUUUUGAAAAUAAACUGCAAAGUAGUAAUUAUAUUUUGUAUUCAAAUGUUAGACACAUUGGAUGAAUGUGGGGUUUUUUUCCCCACUGCAAAGUGGGGAGACUGUAUUAUUAAAAAACACUCACUGGCAUUAGUUUUGUAUUUAUGUCUAAAUAAAACUAAUAUAUGCUUUCCCCCUUGUCUGUUACUUGUUCGGGUUAGUUGGAAGCUGAAAAUGUCAGUUUACAGGUUUUGUAUGUGCAAAGUAAGUCUUGGAAAGAUGAGUAUCCAUGAAGUGUUGAUCUGACUUCUCAUCACAGAGCUGACUGAAUUUAUUAUUUUCUGAAAAAAAUCAUCAAACAUCUUGACUUUGUAUCUCAAAUCUACAACUUUACAGAACUACCACUGCUGCUAUACCAAAAGGCUUUGGAGUGUUCUAAAAAAUAUUGCUUUUAAGGUAGAUGGUAGAAGUGCAGCAUUCUACGUUACAGCCAUAAUUUAAGUAUUGACUACAGAACACAAUCAGUGUUCACUGAGUUUAAACACAUUUUUUGCAGACAUCAGCAGAGGUAGUGUAUUUUAUCAGUGUGCUUCAUGCAAGCUUUGUGGUGAGUUGUAGCAAUUUCAUUAGCUAUUGUGACUGAAUAAGGUGAUCACCUUACCAUUGGUAAAUGUCAGACUGCCAGGUAUUAUUGUCUCAAUGAAAUUAUUGCACCUGAUACACAAUUUAAUUUAUUCUUUGUAUAGCAUAAUAGAUUAUUCUAAAUAACUUACUUCUUGUGUCACAUAUGCUUGUAGUCAGUAUAGAAUCGUAGAAGCAUAGAAUCAUAGAAUCACCAAGACCUCUAAGAUCAUCCAGUACAACCAUUCAGCUAUCACCAAUGUUUCCCAUUAACUACGUAGGUUUUUCCAUUGUUACUGUUGUUGGGAUUGAGCUGUACUUAUGUUUCUGUCUGUUUCCCACCCACUGAUUUCAGUGAACACUUAACAGAUCUAGAAGCCAUAAGUACUGCCUGUAGAAUACUCAGAAGCUCUCUGUUCUAUCAGCAAUGGAAGCAACAAAAUGAUUUUUGCUGUUCUAAGUGUAGUAGUCCAGCAGUGAAGCACCGCACUGCUGUUACUGAAAGAAAUAUAAUAUAGUCCUGUUGUAAUGCACAUGAAAUUGAUUGACUGAUGUUAGGAUUCCUAUUCCAAGUAUGCACUGUCUGAUGCACUGACAGUGAACAGCCUUGGCAGGGCAGUGUUGCUGUAUGCUGUUUCACUGCAGCUAAGCCACAGCUCCUUGCGCAGGUGCAUGACAUCUAGCAUUCAUACAAAUGUGUUCCCAAACACAUGGUGUUAAAGAGAAGUGCCACCAAAUGGCACUGGGACUGCACGCACAGCAGCUGAGAAGUGGACUUUUAAUACCUAGUGAUUGUGCGUACAACUGUGGUUUGUUUCCUCUUCUAUUCAGUGUGCUUUGUGCCUCACAGAGUACAGUGUGCAUGCUCCAAGGGGCAGCAUCUUCCUCCUAGAAUCGUGAAUCACUAAGGUUGGAAAAGACCUUCAAGAUCAUUAAGUCCAACCCUGACUGACACAGCCCGACAGUGAAAGGUUGCUCCUCUGGUGUCAUGUGUGUUUUUUUCAGUUCACUUACUCACUUCCAGUUUAUUUAGUCAUUAUGAAAAUCGAAUGUUUCAGAUGCUGGUCUUCAUGCUGCUUUGCAGCUAAGCACUGACUGCGUUUCCCCUGGGGCCCUGAUGAGGCUGCAGUGCUGCCAGGCUGAGUGCAUGCACCCUCCAAGCUGCCAAGCUCUGACCUCUUCCCCUGCCCUCCUUGAAAUGAGUAAUGCUUUCCUCAGCUUUCCCACAGACACUUAGUCAGUACAUGUACAUAUGCAUUUAAUGACUUCUAAGCGUUUUCACUGCAAGUUCAGAUGAGCUUAUAAGAAACUUAUUUUUUAACAGUGGAAUGUUUACACUGUGGAAAGCUAUGCUUUUCCAUGCCUGUGUGUGCGCCCUUUUCCCUUGUCCUUUAAAUAUACCCAAUGUACUUUUCCCCCUGAGGGAGAAUUCAGCUUCUGAUGUCCCUAAGUCCAUAACUGUGCAAGUACGAUAUGAAGAGACUGACUAGUUACCGUGUUUUUCAAAUGUAGCCAUUAUCUCUUCCUACUGUAAGUACAGAAAGAAAAGAUGAUACUCGUGCAAAAUGGUGAUUGAAACAACAAAAAAAGAAGUUAAUAAUAGAAAUCAGUUAACCUCAACUUCUUGCCCUCUCUGUAUAGAUUGCGAUAGGAGCUGUAUUGACACUUAGGCCACUGAAAGGUAGAAAAAAUAAUUUUCCUAAAAAUAUGUCACCUUGAAAACAAAGUUUCUCUCCCCAUCAGGGUCAUCACGAUCCAGUUUGCGUAUGUCAAGUGAGUGAUCAUUCACAUGCAGAAAGUAAUUUUUGUCUUCGUAGCACUGGAACUUCACUGAGUCUCCUUCAGAAUGCAUGAUGAAAAAGUGAUUAUCUUCCUUCAGCUAUGAAACUUUUUGAAGUCAAGACCUCCCUUGUUGCACCUUUUCCUGUUGCCUUCUUCUGUGGUAGUAUGAUCUGGCUCGGAACAGCAUCCCUUUAAAACCUGUGUUUAUAACCAUGCAGAUCAGUAAUUUUGCCUUCCCAUUUUCCACUUUUAAAGCACAAAAUUCUGUAUUAAUUCUAAUUCUUUUUUUUUCCCACAAAGUUCACUUGUAUUUACACUUCAGUUAUCUGAGAUGGAUAAGUUUUUG